Molecule: long non-coding RNA, 674 nt
Organism: Phycodurus eques (leafy seadragon)
Lineage: Eukaryota; Metazoa; Chordata; Actinopteri; Syngnathiformes; Syngnathidae
Exons: 3
Source: RefSeq, a predicted model, not a curated record
GAAGUUGGAAACCUCCGACGUCAAGCUCACAUUGGAGAUCGAUCACAAGAUGACAAAACAGAUGCCUAAGCACAAUGUGAGCUGGAGUGUAUCCCGGUCGACACUGAGCGAGAGGUGGGGAACACACUGGACUAAAAGUUAUUCAGUAAAAUGCAUUUGAAAAAUGCAUCAAGACUGCUGGAAAGGAUUGGGUCUGUUGUUGAAGAUGAAGCGUGAGUGGGAGAGUUUGAGGUGUUUGAGCAGGCUGUAGAGCUUGCUGCAGUUCAGCGUGCACCAAGGACAGUGAAGGUCAUCCCUCGCCUCCGUCUGCUGCCGCGUGUUGUUGUUGUACAGGAACUAAGCCGAGGGAAAGGUCACAAGACGUCCAGUAAUUGGAUGAUGAAAACCAUAAAGACGGUGGCUCCUCACAUCAAAGUGUUUACCUGAUAAAAUAUCCGUAACUUUUGGCGUGGCUCACAUGGGACGAGUUCUUUCCUUGUGUGGAUAUCUGUGCUGACCGACUCUUUCACUGCUAAAAAGGAACAUAUGGAGGAGUUUGUUCAACCAUUCAUUAAAACACAUGCUUUAUCCAAAUGUAAACACAGCGAGGCUUCUCAAUAGUAUCUCUUAUUUGAUAUAAUGGCCCACGUGACUCUUUCUGUGGUCCAUGUAAGUGAUCAUCUAUCAUAAUGUCA